RNAcentral lists this ribosomal RNA (709 nucleotides) under uncultured bacterium. RNAcentral describes it as "bacterial SSU rRNA". It matches the Rfam family "Bacterial small subunit ribosomal RNA", at positions 59 to 774 of the family's 1533-position model. The record is from RNAcentral.
CAGUCGACGGUGAAGAGGAGCUUGCUCCUUGGAUCAGUGGCGAACGGGUGAGUAACACGUGAGCAAUCUGCCCUUGACUCUGGGAUAACUGCGGGAAACUGUAGCUAAUACCGGAUAUUACCUUGGAAGGCAUCUUCUGGGGUGGAAAGAAUUUUGGUCAAGGAUGAGCUCGCGGCCUAUCAGCUAGUUGGUGAGGUAAUGGCUCACCAAGGCGACGACGGGUAGCCGGCCUGAGAGGGUGACCGGCCACACUGGGACUGAGACACGGCCCAGACUCCUACGGGAGGCAGCAGUGGGGAAUAUUGGACAAUGGGCGGAAGCCUGAUCCAGCAACGCCGCGUGGGGGAUGACGGCCUUCGGGUUGUAAACCUCUUUCAGUAUCGACGAAGCGCCUGUAUGGGUGGUGACGGUAGGUACAGAAGAAGCACCGGCCAACUACGUGCCAGCAGCCGCGGUAAUACGUAGGGUGCGAGCGUUGUCCGGAAUUAUUGGGCGUAAAGGGCUCGUAGGCGGUUUGUCGCGUCGGGAGCGAAAACACUGGGCUUAACCGAGUGCUUGCUUUCGAUACGGGCAGACUAGAGGUAUGCAGGGGAGAACGGAAUUCCUGGUGUAGCGGUGAAAUGCGCAGAUAUCAGGAGGAACACCGGUGGCGAAGGCGGUUCUCUGGGCAUUACCUGACGCUGAGGAGCGAAAGUGUGGGGAGCGAACA